UCCGGUUGGUACUGAGUAAUGCAAGAGUGAAUCCACAACUUGCAAACUCCACUUUUGAUCAGAGGUGAGGCAAUGAACGACUUGGAUUGGCGCCAGUUGCUUCACCGUCAAAUCACCUUUGAGCUUCUUCUUAUGACCUGAGCUUGUCUCCCCCUUUCUUCUGGCUUCUUGCCUCCAUUUAGGAGUUGAGACAAAGCUUUUCUUUGUUCAUGAGCUCAAUAGGUACUUUUAGGUACUUCCCUUGCAUCAGUUUGUUGAAUGUUGGUGAGGAUUACUAAGCACUUGAAUCCUCCACGCCAUUCCUUCUCUCAACCAGCCUUUGCAUUGUUCUCUUGAAGUUUCAACAUGUAGGGGGACUUUGCAACUCCAUAAUUUGCCACCAUCAUGUGAUUGCUUAGCCAAGAAUGUCCCUGAUUGAAUAAUCCUUGCAUCUGGCUGGUGAGAACAGUGAGGAGUGACAGCUUCUUCAGACUGAUCACUUAAGUCCUCUUUUAAUUCGCCAACCUCUUGCUGGUCUUCUAUGAGGAAAUGGGACACUGGAUACAGUAAGCUUCAUGGAUCUUUUGGUAGCUCACUGAUAUUCCCCUCCUCAAGCUUGACUGAGUAUAGUGACAAGCUUGAACGUGAGCUUCAAUGAGUUUUGAACUGGGAGCACAACAAUACCAACAUCUGCGCUUAAGCCAACCAGUUCACCAUCUUCCAGGAGCACAACAAUACCAACAUCUGCGCUUAAGCCAACUGGAUCACCAUUUGCCUUCAGCUCCAAUGUCUUUGGACCACCAGUCUCCUCAUGACUUAGGUGAUGGCCUUCCUUGUGAGUCUCUUGAACCAGGAGCACAACAGCUCCUACGCCUGCGCUUAAGUCAACUGAUUCCACUCACAAGGUAUCUUUACAUGGUCAGGACUAAACACCUUGAUCCAUGCCUCUGACCACCGGCCACUCUUGGCUUAGUGAUGGCCUUUUCUCUUGAGUGCACCUCCUGUACAUCCUCUUGGCAUCAGGUAAGUCACUUCUGAGCAGUUUCUCCAAUUCUCCAACAUCCUUUCUAUCUUCAGGGUAGGAAAUGGGCAGACACAUAGAUAGGAUUUGGGACUGGGCAAUCUCCACGGUUCAGGAAUAUCCAUCUUGGGAGGCUCUGAAAAACGUGGGCAAUGCCUUCUUCUUUGUCUUAGUUUGAUGAUGGACAGAGAUCACCUCUUGUGUACCUGAAACAUCACUCAAACUCCAGCAAGAAUCAGACCACACACACUAGGAUCAGCCCUUGAUAAUUCACCAAGUCUGAUCCCAAUGUUUUAAGA
Long non-coding RNA from Brassica rapa (field mustard), 1299 nucleotides. RefSeq lists it as uncharacterized. Lineage: Eukaryota; Viridiplantae; Streptophyta; Magnoliopsida; Brassicales; Brassicaceae. The record is from RefSeq and is a predicted model, not a curated record.